Long non-coding RNA from Chelonoidis abingdonii (Abingdon island giant tortoise), 964 nucleotides. RefSeq lists it as uncharacterized. The record is from RefSeq and is a predicted model, not a curated record. Lineage: Eukaryota; Metazoa; Chordata; Testudines; Testudinidae.
CUCCGGUUGAUAGGCAGGAGGGCCUUUUAACCUUCUGAGACUGUUUUCUAUCUCCCCUCCUUCGUCCCUUGCAGCCAUCUGUCUUGAGUUUAUCGCACUGGAUAAACUGCAUUUAGAGAAGUUUUGUUUGGAUGGGGAUUUUUGCAUGCUAUGCAAUUUAUUUAGGCCAAACUUUAAAAAAAAACAGCUAAUACGGCUGGGAUAUUUUAAAAAGCCUGGGAUAGUAUCUCUUUCCAACAGUAUAUUGUAAUUUUUAUUUCAUUAGACUUCUUCUUCUUUGCUUAAGACCAAGCCAAACUGGUGGAGAGGUGAAAUAUAGGGUGAGAGUGCUAAAGGUUACAGUAUGUGUAAAAAGACAGUAUAAAAUGUAAAGUUUUAUAAGAGUGCAGGGAAAUUACUUCUUGGGGCCACUUCAAUGUGAUGGAAAAUAAAAUGGAAAAAAAUGUUUUGCAGCUACCUCUAUACAACACAAGUCCAAAUGUAAAGAUGUUGGUGCAUCUUGAUUAUAUCAUAGGGCUCUUUUUAUCCAUCAAAAAAUGUCUGUGCUUGGAGUUUUGCACCAGUAUGGCUGCAUUGUGCUGCCAAUGGUUUUACCCCCCCCCCAUCUUCCUUUUAGAGUCUAAUAUAUGUCAUUGAACAUUAAGAAAACAAAAAGUUUUGCUUUUGAAGUACUUCUAUAAAAUGUUAUUAAACGUGUAAAGACAAAAAUUCUGUUACAUUACAGCGGUUUUCAUCCCAGCCAGAAAUGACCAGUCUUGCCCCAGUAUGUACACCCCAUCUUUUGGGCUCCAUUAUCCUUUCCUGAGUGGUUGCAUGAUGUGUGUAGCAGGAUUACAUUACUAAGAUACCCCUUCUCUCUUGGAAGGAAUCCUCAGUCAUGGCUGAGACUGGGAAGGUCACCUACAUGAUGGAAAUUCUUGCUGCUUGUCCCAUGGAUUGCCAUGAUCCCCAGCUGAUGGAGCUG